GACGAACGCUGGCGGCGUGCUUAACACAUGCCAGUCGAACGAUGAAGCAAAGAAUCGAAGCUUCUGCAGAAAUUCAUUUCGGAUUAGUGGCAGACGGGUGCGUAACGCGUGAUCAACCUACCUCUUACAAAGGGAUAGCCUCGUUAAACCGGGAUUAAUACCAUAUAACAUUGUGACGAAUCAUUUCGCUUCAAUCAAAUCUACGGCGGUAAGUGAUGUGCUCGCGUCCCAUUAACCGGAUGGUGAGGUAACGGCUCACCAUAGUGAGGAUGGGUAACCGGGAAGAGAGGGUGAACGGUGACACCGGAGGUGAGAAACAGUCCAGAAUCCUACGGGAGGCAGGAGUGGGGAAUAUUGCAAAACGGAGGGAACGCUGAUGGAGCGACGCUGGGUGAGUGAUGAAGGAAGGCGUUAAGUAAAACUGUGUUCUAUGGGAAGAAAAGGACGGUACCAUAGGAGAAAGCACCGGCUAAAUACGUG
Molecule: ribosomal RNA, 480 nt
Filed under: uncultured bacterium
Lineage: Bacteria
Description: partial 16S ribosomal RNA
Rfam family: Bacterial small subunit ribosomal RNA
Source: RNAcentral